This 163-nucleotide non-coding RNA is filed under the name uncultured Vexilliferidae. Lineage: Eukaryota; Discosea; Flabellinia; Dactylopodida; Vexilliferidae. The record is from RNAcentral.
AAAAAAAAAAAACUCUAAAAAAAAAAAAAAAAAGAUUUAAAUACACUCUUUACAAAUUUGGGUUUUGUUCUCUUUUUUUUGUUUUUUUUUUUCCCUUUUUAACUUUUACAUAAAAACACAAUGAGUAAUUUUUUCGUACCAGUAAGAGGAAAAAAAAGAAAUG